CUGGAGUCUUCUGGGGAAGACCACAAGCUUUCUCGUCUUUGUGGUCCCAACGUACCAAAAAUGUGUCUGUUGUGGAAUAAAUUACCUGAAUUGAAAUGAGCACAGUGAUUCAUCACCAGAAGAUUUUGUCUGCAAGAGCCACACACGGAUUAACGCAAUUGGAAGGAACUGUUCUGAAGAAGAGGCCCAAGAGGAAGUUGCCAUGGAGAUGAGGAGGCUAAACACUACUGUACUUGUGACCUCCGCCAGGCUGAUUUCUCCAAAUGACAGUGGAGGUCGUGGGGGCACACGGGGGAGCUGGUUCUGCCCAUCGCUGCUCUGCAUCCAGCCCUGGGUGCUAGGUGGGACAUCCAGCUGGGGACCACAGCUGAGGAACUGACUCCAACAAUGCCAGUCGCUUUCAGAGUUACUACAGUGAAAAUAAGGAUGCCCAUGAAUGUCUAAUUUAUAAAACCAAAAUCAG
Molecule: long non-coding RNA, 463 nt
Organism: Numida meleagris (helmeted guineafowl)
Lineage: Eukaryota; Metazoa; Chordata; Aves; Galliformes; Numididae
Exons: 3
Source: RefSeq, a predicted model, not a curated record